This 479-nucleotide ribosomal RNA is filed under the name uncultured bacterium. Its description in RNAcentral is "partial 16S ribosomal RNA". It matches the Rfam family "Bacterial small subunit ribosomal RNA", at positions 28 to 507 of the family's 1533-position model. The record is from RNAcentral.
GAUGAACGCUAGCGGGAGGCCUAACACAUGCAAGCCGAGCGGUAGAGUUUCUUCGGAAACUUGAGAGCGGCGCACGGGUGCGUAACACGUGUGCAACCUACCUUUAUCUGGGGGAUAGCCUUUCGAAAGGAAGAUUAAUACCCCAUAAUAUAAUGAUUGGCAUCAAUUAUUAUUGAAAACUCCGGUGGAUAGAGAUGGGCACGCGCAAGAUUAGAUAGUUGGUGAGGUAACGGCUCACCAAGUCAAUGAUCUUUAGGGGUCCUGAGGGGGAGAUCCCCCACACUGGAACUGAGACACGGACCAGACUCCUACGGGACGCAGCAGUGAGGAAGAUUAGGCAAGGGGUGAGAACCUGAUCCAGCCAUCCCGCGUGAAAGAUGACGGUCCUAUGGAUGGUAAGCUUCUUUUGUACAGGGAUAAACCUACCCUCGUGAGGGUAGCUGAAGGUACUGUAAGAAUAAGCACCGGCUAACUCCGUG